Molecule: ribosomal RNA, 495 nt
Filed under: uncultured bacterium
Lineage: Bacteria
Description: bacterial SSU rRNA
Rfam family: Bacterial small subunit ribosomal RNA
Source: RNAcentral
GAUGAACGCUAGCGGCAGGCCUAAUACAUGCAAGUCGAGGGGCAGCGCGGUAGCAAUACUGGCGGCGACCGGCGCACGGGUGCGUAACACGUAUGCAACCUACCUUCAACUGGAGGAUAGCCCGGGGAAACUCGGAUUAAUACUCCAUAACACAGGGAUCCCGCAUGGGAAUAUUGUUAAAGCUACGGCGGUUGAAGAUGGGCAUGCGUUCGAUUAGCUAGUUGGUGUAGGUAACGGCUCACCAAGGCUACGAUCGAUAGGGGGUCUGAGAGGAUGAUCCCCCACACUGGUACUGAGAUACGGACCAGACUCCUACGGGAGCAGCAGUAGGGAAUAUUGGUCAAUGGGCGCAAGCCUGAACCAGCCAUGCCGCGUGCAGGAAGAAGGGCCCUCUGGGUUGUAAACUGCUUUUGAUAGGGAACAAAUGCCACUUGCGAGUGGAGCUGAGUGUACCUAUAGAAUAAGCACGGCUAACUCCGUGCCAGCAGCCGACGG